Molecule: ribosomal RNA, 465 nt
Filed under: uncultured bacterium
Lineage: Bacteria
Description: partial 16S ribosomal RNA
Rfam family: Bacterial small subunit ribosomal RNA
Source: RNAcentral
GAUGAACGCUGGCGGCGUGCUUAACACAUGCAAGUCGAACGGAAAGGCUCCUGCUUGCCGGGGUACUCGAGUGGCGAACGGGUGAGUAACACGUGGGUGAUCUGCCCUGCACUUCGGGAUAAGCCUGGGAAACUGGGUCUAAUACCGGAUAGGACGAUGGUUUGGAUGCCAUUGUGGAAAGUUUUUCGGUGUGGGAUGAGCUCGCGGCCUAUCAGCUUGUUGGUGGGGUAAUGGCCUACCAAGGCGUCGACGGGUAGCCGGCCUGAGAGGGUGUACGGCCAACAGUGGGACGGAGCGACGGCCAAGACCCGUACGGGGGGCAGGGGUGGGAAUUGUGGCAAAAGGGGCGAAGGCCUGCUGCGGCGACGCGGGGGGGGGGAGGCCGGCCUGCGGGUUGGAACCUCCUUCCGUGAGGGAAGAAGCGAAGGGGGGGGUCCUGGGAAAAGAAACACGGCAAAAUUACGG